This 492-nucleotide ribosomal RNA is filed under the name uncultured bacterium. Its description in RNAcentral is "partial 16S ribosomal RNA". It matches the Rfam family "Bacterial small subunit ribosomal RNA", at positions 29 to 507 of the family's 1533-position model. The record is from RNAcentral.
AGUGAACGCUGGCGGUAUGCCUAACACAUGCAAGUCGAGCGGCAGCACAGUAAGAUCUCUCCCUUACGGGUGGCGAGGGGCGGACGGGUGAGGAAUAGAUAACAAUCUACUUUUUCUUGGGGGACAACGUAGGGAAACUUACGCUACUACCUCAUACAACCUACGGCAGAAAUCAGUAGUGCUUCACACCUUUGCCGACUCAAUUAGACGAUGCCGCAUUAGCUAGUUGGCUUGGUAAAGGCCCACCAAGGCAACGAUGCGUAGCUGAUCUGAGAGGAUGAUCAGCCACACUGGAACUGAGACACGGUCCAGACUCCUACGGGAGGCAGCAGUGGGGAAUAUUGGACAAUGGGCGAAAGCCUGAUCCAGCCAUACCGCGUGGGUGAAGAAGGCCUUCGGGUUGUAAAGCUCUUUUGUUGGGAAAGAAAAGCAGCAGGUUAAUCCCCCGAUGUUCUGACGGUACCCAAAGAAUAAGCACCGGCUAACUUCGUG